ACCCAACUGAUGGGUCCCAAACAGGACGAAACGUGCAUCCUAGAU
This 45-nucleotide non-coding RNA is filed under the name Schistosoma haematobium. The record is from RNAcentral. Lineage: Eukaryota; Metazoa; Platyhelminthes; Trematoda; Strigeidida; Schistosomatidae.